Molecule: ribosomal RNA, 445 nt
Filed under: uncultured bacterium
Lineage: Bacteria
Description: bacterial SSU rRNA
Rfam family: Bacterial small subunit ribosomal RNA
Source: RNAcentral
GUGAGGAAUAUUGGUCAAUGGUCGCAAGACUGAACCAGCCAUGCCGCGUGCAGGAUGAAGCAUCUAUGGUGUGUAAACUGCUUUUGUACGGGAAGAAACACCUCUUCGUGAAGAGGCUUGACGGUACCGUAAGAAUAAGGAUCGGCUAACUCCGUGCCAGCAGCCGCGGUAAUACGGAGGAUCCAAGCGUUAUCCGGAAUCAUUGGGUUUAAAGGGUCCGUAGGCGGUUUUGUAAGUCAGUGGUGAAAUCCGGCAGCUUAACUGUCGAACUGCCAUUGAUACUGCAGGACUUGAAUUACUGUGAAGUAACUAGAAUAUGUAGUGUAGCGGUGAAAUGCUUAGAUAUUACAUGGAAUACCAAUUGCGAAGGCAGGUUACUAACAGUGGAUUGACGCUGAUGGACGAAAGCGUGGGGAGCGAACAGGAUUAGAUACCCCUGUAGUCC